This 468-nucleotide ribosomal RNA is filed under the name uncultured bacterium. Its description in RNAcentral is "partial 16S ribosomal RNA". It matches the Rfam family "Bacterial small subunit ribosomal RNA", at positions 28 to 507 of the family's 1533-position model. The record is from RNAcentral.
GACGAACGCUGGCGGCGUGCUUAACACAUGCAAGUCGAACGGAAAGGCCCUGCUUUUGUGGGGUGCUCGAGUGGCGAACGGGUGAGUAACACGUGAGUAACCUGCCCUUGACUUUGGGAUAACUUCAGGAAACUGGGGCUAAUACCGGAUAGGAGCUCCUGCUGCAUGGUGGGGGUUGGAAAGUUUCGGCGGUUGGGGAUGGACUCGCGGCUUAUCAGCUUGUUGGUGGGGUAGUGGCUUACCAAGGCUUUGACGGGUAGCCGGCCUGAGAGGGUGACCGGCCACAAUGGGACUGAGGUACGGAGCAGAGUGCAACGGGAGGCAGCGGUGGAGAAUAUUGCACAAUGAGGGGAAGCCUGAUACGGCGACGCCGGGUGCGGAAUGACGGCCUUCGGGUUGUGAACCGCUUUCGCCUGUGACGAAGCGUGAGUGACGGUAAUGGGUAAAGAAGCACCGGCUAACUACGUG